This 344-nucleotide unclassified non-coding RNA is filed under the name soil metagenome. RNAcentral's name for it is "partial contains 5.8S ribosomal RNA, internal transcribed spacer 2, and large subunit ribosomal RNA". The stretch from base 1 to 121 matches the Rfam family "5.8S ribosomal RNA", at positions 35 to 154 of the family's 154-position model. The record is from RNAcentral.
GAUGAAGAACGUAGUGAAAUGCGAUAAGUAAUGCGAAUUGCAGAAUUUCCGUGAGUCAUCGAAUCUUUGAACGCACAUUGCGCCCACUGGUAUUCCGGUGGGCAUGCCUGUUCGAGCGUCAUUAUCCUCCCUCAAACCCCGGGUUUGGUGUUGGACCCAAGUUGUGUGAACAACUGGUCUUAAAGACAAUGACGGCGUCCGUGGGACCCUCGGUGCAACGAGCUAUUAGGAGCACGCAUCGAGUUGCAAGGACCUUCCGGGCCGGUCUCCUUUACUAUUUUACAAGGUUGACCUCGGAUCAGGUAGGAAUACCCGCUGAACUUAAGCAUAUCAAUAAGGGAGGA